This is a non-coding RNA of Pelobates cultripes (western spadefoot toad), 69 nucleotides long. The record is from the annotation of a GenBank genome assembly. NCBI's taxonomy places the organism in Eukaryota, Metazoa, Chordata, Amphibia, Anura, Pelobatidae.
CAAAAAAUAUGUAUGAAACUGGUGUCUAUAUCCCAAAUAUAGACACCAGUUUCAUACAUAUUUUUUGGU